AAUGAACGCUGGCGGCGUGCUUAACACAUGCAAGUCGAACGAGAAAUCUUUAGCUCGCUAGAGAAAGUAAAGUGGCGCACGGGUGAGUAACGCGUGGGUAAUCUGCCUCCGAAUCGGGGAUAACAUUGCGAAAGCGAUGCUAAUACCGGAUAAAAUCUGGUUGGCUUCGGUGAACCGGAUCAAAGGUGGUCUCUUUAUAAAAGNUACCGCCUGGAGAUGAGCUCGCGUACCAUUAGNUAGUUGGUGAGGUAAAGGCUCACCAAGGCGACGAUGGUUAGCUGGUCUGAGAGGAUGAUCAGCCACACCGGAACUGGAACACGGUCCGGACUCCUACGGGAGGCAGCAGUGAGGAAUUUUGCGCAAUGGGGGAAACCCUGACGCAGCAACGCCGCGUGAGUGAUGAAGGCUUUCGGGUCGUAAAGCUCUGUCGGGUGGGAAGAACCCACCAAGUGUUAAGACCACUUGGUGCUGACGGUACCACCGAAGGAAGCACCGGCUAACUCCGUGCCAGCAGCCGCGGUAAUACGGGGGGUGCGAGCGUUGUUCGGAAUUAUUGGGCGUAAAGGGCGCGUAGGCGGCUUGGCAAGCCUGGUGUGAAAGGCCACAGCUUAACUGUGGGAGUGCGCUGGGAACUGCCUAGCUAGAGUUUCGGAGGGGAAGCUGGAAUUCCUGGUGUAGGGGUGAAAUCUGUAGAUAUCAGGAAGAACAUCUGUGGCGAAGGCGAGCUUCUGGCCAGAAACUGACGCUGAGGCGCGAAGGCGUGGGGAGCGAACAGGAUUAGAUACCCUGGUAGUCCACGCUGUAAACGAUGUGCACUAGGUGUUGGCUGUGAUAACGGUCAGUGCCGAAGCAAACGCGAUAAGUGCACCGCCUGGGGAGUAUGCUCGCAAGGGUGAAACUCAAAGGAAUUGACGGGGGCCCGCACAAGCGGUGGAGCAUAUGGUUUAAUUCGAUGAUACGCGAGGAACCUUACCAGGGUUUGACAUAUGGCGGACUGCGGCAGAGAUGUCGCUUCCCUUCGGGGCCGUCAUACAGGUGCUGCAUGGCUGUCGUCAGCUCGUGCUGUGAGGUGUUGGGUUAAGUCCCGCAACGAGCGCAAC
RNAcentral lists this ribosomal RNA (1100 nucleotides) under uncultured organism. RNAcentral describes it as "bacterial SSU rRNA". It matches the Rfam family "Bacterial small subunit ribosomal RNA", at positions 28 to 1102 of the family's 1533-position model. The record is from RNAcentral.